This 3803-nucleotide long non-coding RNA is filed under the name Vitis vinifera (wine grape). RNAcentral describes it as "long non-coding RNA (VVIN_LNC003162)". Lineage: Eukaryota; Viridiplantae; Streptophyta; Magnoliopsida; Vitales; Vitaceae. The record is from RNAcentral.
UGCAUGUCUUCUUUGUAAAAUUGGAGUCGGUCUUGUCUUAAACUAUGGGAAACAAUGAUCUCGUAUUUCUAUACUUGAUAGUAUAUGGUUAAUGGAUAAUAAUGUUACUGCAUGAGCUGAAGUGAUGAGGAUUUUUAUAUAUAUAAACAAAUAUGUAGUAUGUGGAAGCUCAAAAUUGCAGAAGGGCAUGGUCCAUGGUUGUACAGCCUCAACAACUAUGUUGGCAGGCAGAUCUAGGAGUUCGACCUUUAGGGAAUUAAACCGAAUUCCCAACCCAUGAGAAACAAAAAUUAGAGAAAACACACGCCAAAAAAAAACAAUCACAUGCACAAGACAGUAUUUACGUGGUUCAGCAAUUUGCCUACAUCCACGGAGUUGCAGAGAUAUCACUAUUAUCAGGGAAGAAUACAAAGUACAACUUAGCAGCUACAAUAUUCUCUCUAUAUAUAUAACACGGCAACCCCACCAUAUAAAAAACCCUAAUUACAAAAGGUGGUUCCAUAAUGGACUAAACGGGCCUAACAGGCCUCAAUAAAUCUCCCAUUAAAAAACCAUGCAAUAUUAUUCGGGUCGGGUCGUCAAACUGGAUCAAACAAAACUAGGCUCCACAAAGCCCAACAAAUCUCCCACUUGGAGACUAGUCCAAUCACCAACAUCAAACCGCUAUCCUCCAAGAAACAAUCCCUCAUCCCUACAACUCAUCCUCCUGUCCUCAAGCUAGAAGACCAAUUGAAGCUGCGCACAACUUCAACUUCUCAAUAGUGGCACCCUUAGUCAACAUGUUUGCAAGGUUCUUAGAUCCACAAAUCUUCUCAAGUAUUACCAGUUUAUCCUCAACAAGAUAACGGAUAAAGUGGUAUUUUGUUUGUAUAUGUUUCGACUUUGAAUGAAAAGCUGAAUUUUUGGCAAGAAAAAUUGCACUCUAAUUGUCGUAGAAUGCCCAUCUCCUACUUCUUACCCAAUUCAUCUAAGAAACCAUGUAGCCAAAUCAUCUCAUUUCCAACUUCAGUUGCUACAACAUACUCAGCUUCUAUAGUAGACAAAGUAACAAUCUUCUAUAAAUUUGAAGUCCAUGAUAUAGCUGUACCACCUAAAGUAAAAACAAACCCAGUAGUACUCUUUCUACUAUCAAUAUCACCAGCAAAAUCAGCAUCUACAUAACCCUGCAGUUUCAAACUUGCACCUGUGAAGCAAAGACAUGUAUCUAAUGAACCCUUCAGAUAUCUUAAAAUCCACUUGACUACCUCCCAAUGUUGCUUUCUAGGCCUACUCAUGAAUCUGCUCACAACUCCCACUGCAUGUGCAAUGUUUGGCCUUGUACACACCAUAGCAUACAUCAAGCUGCCAAUAGUUGAGGCAUAAGGCACCUUGCUCAUAUGGUCCCUUUCUUCUUCUGUCUUCGGUGACUGUUCUUUGCUUAGUUUGAAAUGACUACCCAAGGGUGUGCUCACUAGUUUAGCUUCAUUCAUGUUGAACCUGUUGAGAACUUUCUUCACAUACUCUGAUUGUGAAAGCUUCAAUGUACCAUUAGCCUUGUCUCUAAUGAUUCUCAUACCAAGGAUUUACUUUGCAGCUCCCAAAUCCUUCAUUGCAAACUGUUUGGACAAUUGUUUCUUCAAAUUAUUAAUCUUCUCAAUGUCAGACCCUACAAUAAGCAUAUCAUCCACAUACAACAAUAAUAUGAUGUAAGAAUUGUCAAAGGACUUAACAUAGCAACAAUGAUCAGCUUCAUAUUUCUUGAACCCAAUUCUAUGCAUAAAAUUGUCAAACUUCUUGUACCACUGUCUAGGAGCUUGUUUAAGGUCAUACAAGCUCUUUCUCAAUUUGCAAACUAGAUUCUCUUGUCCCUGAACAACGAACCCUUCUGGCUGAAUGAUGUAAAGGUCUUCCUCCAAGUCACCAUGAAGGAAUGCUGUCUUCACAUCUAACUGCUUAAGAUGUAAGUUUUCUGCAGCCACCAUUUCAAGUACAAGUUUAAUUGUUGACAUCUUCACAAUUGGAGAAAAUAUCUCUAUGUAGUCAAUGCCCUCCUUCUGUUGAAACCCUUUAACAACUAAUCUGGCCUUGUAACGUUUGCUACCAUCAUGCUCAUUCUUUAUUCUGUAUACCCACUUGUUGUGCAAAGCCUUCUUUCCUACUAGCAAUUCAGUUAGUUCCCAUGUCUGAUUCCCCAAUAGGGAAUCCAUCUCAUCCUUCAUGGCUAACUCCCACUUGCUUGAAUUCUCAUCUUGCAAGGCUUCAUCAUAACACUCUGGCUCACCACCAUCAGUCAACAGGAGAUAAUUUAAAACAGGUGAAUAACGCUGCGAAGGUCUAAUGUUCCUGGAAGAUCUGCGAACUUUAGCUACAGGUGUACUCAAAUCUACCUGUGAAUUUACAUUCUCUUUAUCUUCUUCACUCCCUUUUUGGACAGUACUUUCAGUCAAUUCAUCUAAGUUAACAAACUCAGAUUUCUUUUGAUCUAUCUCUGUAACAUCUGACACUACAGUUAACCUGUCCUUGUACAUAACCUAUUCAUUAAAUAUCACAUUUCUACUUCUGAUGAUUUUCCUGUUUUGUUCAUCCCAAAACCUAUAGCCAAAUUUCUCAUCACUAUAGCCAAUGAAAAAACAUAUUUUUGACUUUGCAUCAAGUUUACUACAAGCAACAGAAUCAAUAUGAACAUAAGAUACACAACCAAAAACUUUUAAAUGUGAAAACUUCACCUCUUUACCACUCCAAACCUUCUCAGGAAGUCUGAACUCCAUGGGAACUGAUGGUUCUCUGUUUAUCAGGUAAGCUGCAGUGCUAAUAGCAUCAGCCCAAAAAAUUUUGGUAGUCCAACAUGCAACCUCAUACUUCUAGCAUGCUCAUUGAGAGUUCUGUUCAUGCGCUCAGCCACACCAUUCUGCUGUGGUGUCCUAGGAAUGGUCUUCUCCAUUCUAAUUCCCUGUGCAGUACAACACUCACUAAACCCUCCAUCUAUGUACUCUCCUCCAUUAUCUGACCUCAAACAUUUUACUUUCAAACCUGUUUCUGUCUCAACUAUGGCCUUCCACUUCUUAAAAGUUUUUCCUCCCAUAGAGAUAAUCUUCAAUCUGCAUCCUCCAAUACGCAAAGUCUGUGCCAUCAAACUUUUCUAUUUCAGACGCAUUUCCUGCUUCCUCUGCCAUUGCUCCCACUCAAACCUAACCCUAGGCUCUGAUACCAGUUGUAGGGAAUUAAACCGAAUUCCCAACCCGUGAGAAACAAAAAUUAGAGAAAACACACGCCAAAGAAAAACAAUCACACGUACAAGACAGUAUUUACGUGGUUCGGCAAUUUGCCUACAUCCACGGAGUUGCAGGGAUAUCACUAUUAUUAGGGAAGAAUACAGAGUACAACUUAGUGACUACAAUAUUCUCUCUAUAUAUAUAACACGGCAACCCCACCAUAUAAAAAACCCUAAUUACAAAAGGUGGUUUCAUAAUGGGCUAAACGGGCCUAAUAGGCCUUAAUAAAUCUUCCAUUAAAAUGCCAUGCAAUAUUAUUCGGGUCGGGUCGUCAAACCGAAUCAAACAAAACUAGGCUCCACAAAGCCCAACACGACCCUGAAGCUGGGACCCCAGAAGAGCGAGAAGAGGUCAGGAAAGUCCAGGACAAUUUCACAAAGAAUUGGUUUCGCUACAAACCUAAUGGGGAUCUCCUAAUGAGGAUGCAGGUAUACACUCUUUUAUUCAUGAUGGUAUCUUUGGAUGAAAAAUUUUCCUCCACCAUCUUCCAGCAUGGUAUUUUGCUUCUGAGGUUGAUGAAGUGAUCACAAUAAAAUUUAAUAUUAAUUAAAG